GAAGGUAUGGCUCAGUGGUAGUGUGCCUAGCAUGCACAGUGUCCUGGGUUCAAUCCCCAGUACCUCCA
This 68-nucleotide transfer RNA is filed under the name Camelus bactrianus (Bactrian camel). It matches the Rfam family "tRNA". From Rfam's summary of the family: Transfer RNA (tRNA) molecules are approximately 80 nucleotides in length. Their secondary structure includes four short double-helical elements and three loops (D, anti-codon, and T loops). Further hydrogen bonds mediate the characteristic L-shaped molecular structure. tRNAs have two regions of fundamental functional importance: the anti-codon, which is responsible for specific mRNA codon recognition, and the 3' end, to which the tRNAs corresponding amino acid is attached (by aminoacyl-tRNA synthetases). tRNAs cope with the degeneracy of the genetic code in two manners: having more than one tRNA (with a specific anti-codon) for a particular amino acid; and 'wobble' base-pairing, i.e. permitting non-standard base-pairing at the 3rd anti-codon position. Lineage: Eukaryota; Metazoa; Chordata; Mammalia; Artiodactyla; Camelidae. The record is from Rfam by way of RNAcentral. RNAcentral also lists the same sequence under 2 other names.